RNAcentral lists this small RNA (808 nucleotides) under Pongo abelii (Sumatran orangutan). Its description in RNAcentral is "retained intron". Lineage: Eukaryota; Metazoa; Chordata; Mammalia; Primates; Hominidae. The record is from RNAcentral.
GUGAACGGCUUCCUGCAGGCUGGCAAUGGCGCUUCACGUUCCCAAGGCUCCGGGCUUUGCCCAGAUGCUCAAGGAGGGAGCGAAACACUUUUCAGGAUUAGAAGAGGCUGUGUAUAGAAACAUACAAGCUUGCAAGGAACUUGCCCAAACCACUCGUACAGCAUAUGGACCAAAUGGAAUGAACAAAAUGGUUAUCAACCACUUGGAGAAGUUGUUUGUGACAAAUGAUGCAGCAACUAUUUUAAGAGAACUAGAAGUACAGCAUCCUGCUGCAAAAAUGAUUGUAAUGGCUUCUCAUAUGCAAGAGCAAGAAGUUGGAGAUGGCACAAACUUUGUUCUCGUAUUUGCUGGAGCUCUCCUGGAAUUAGCUGAAGAACUUCUGAGGAUUGGCCUGUCAGUUUCAGAGGUCAUAGAAGGUUAUGAAAUAGCCUGCAGAAAAGCUCAUGAGAUUCUUCCUAAUUUGGUAUGUUGUUCUGCAAAAAACCUUCGAGAUAUUGAUGAAGUCUCAUCUCUACUUCGUACCUCCAUAAUGAGUAAACAAUAUGGUAAUGAAGUAUUUCUGGCCAAGCUUAUUGCUCAGGCAUGCGGUAAGUAAAUAUCAGUAAAUGAAAAGAUCCAAAAUAAAAAUGUCUUUAACAUGACUAGAUACUUUCUCUGUUGUCCCAAAAUAAUCUUUUGAUAUGUCUCAUUUUCUUAACAGUAUCUAUUUUUCCUGAUUCCGGCCAUUUCAAUGUUGAUAACAUCAGAGUUUGUAAAAUUCUGGGCUCUGGUAUCAGUUCCUCUUCAGUAUUGCAUGGCAUGGUUUUUA